GUCACGUUACUUUUAGGUCUUUUCGUCGGGUAUCAGAUGUACUGGAGUUCGACGUAGACGGUCUUUUCGGUAUCACCAGAAGUAAUGAUUUCUACAGUGUCUCGUAGAACUAUAUCUUAUCCGUGUCCGUAUCGUUCCCUGUUACUGACGGUUUCCCAGCCUUUGUGCAGUUAAAGGGGUACUUUGUUACAUGGAGAUCACGACAACACUUAGAAUGUCACAUUCAGGACAUCUGCUGGUCUUAUACCAACCGUACAAGCCAGUUACCAUGAACACUCUGUCUAGAUGGGUUCAUUGGUUGUUAUCGCUAGCGAGGGUGGAGACGUGUUUGGGU
This 334-nucleotide long non-coding RNA is filed under the name Pelobates cultripes (western spadefoot toad). The record is from RNAcentral. Lineage: Eukaryota; Metazoa; Chordata; Amphibia; Anura; Pelobatidae.